RNAcentral lists this transfer RNA (72 nucleotides) under Camelus bactrianus (Bactrian camel). It matches the Rfam family "tRNA". From Rfam's summary of the family: Transfer RNA (tRNA) molecules are approximately 80 nucleotides in length. Their secondary structure includes four short double-helical elements and three loops (D, anti-codon, and T loops). Further hydrogen bonds mediate the characteristic L-shaped molecular structure. tRNAs have two regions of fundamental functional importance: the anti-codon, which is responsible for specific mRNA codon recognition, and the 3' end, to which the tRNAs corresponding amino acid is attached (by aminoacyl-tRNA synthetases). tRNAs cope with the degeneracy of the genetic code in two manners: having more than one tRNA (with a specific anti-codon) for a particular amino acid; and 'wobble' base-pairing, i.e. permitting non-standard base-pairing at the 3rd anti-codon position. Lineage: Eukaryota; Metazoa; Chordata; Mammalia; Artiodactyla; Camelidae. RNAcentral also lists the same sequence under 2 other names. The record is from Rfam by way of RNAcentral.
GAGGGUGUGGCUCAGUGGUAGAGUGCUUGCCUAGCAUGUGUGAAGUCCUGGGUUCAAUCCCCAGUACCUCCA